UGGGGAAUCUUGCGCAAUGGGCGAAAGCCUGACGCAGCCAUGCCGCGUGAAUGAUGAAGGUCUUAGGAUUGUAAAAUUCUUUCAGCGGGGAAGAUAAUGACGGUACCCGCAGAAGAAGCCCCGGCUAACUUCGUGCCAGCAGCCGCGGUAAUACGAAGGGGGCUAGCGUUGCUCGGAUUUACUGGGCGUAAAGGGCGCGUAGGCGGACGAUCAAGUUGGGGGUGAAAUCCCGGGGCUUAACCUCGGAACUGCCUCCAAAACUGAUAGUCUAGAGUUUGGGAGAGGUGUGUGGAACUCCGAGUGUAGAGGUGAAAUUCGUAGAUAUUCGGAAGAACACCAGUGGCGAAGGCGACACACUGGCCCAAUACUGACGCUGAGGCGCGAAAGCGUGGGGAGCAAACAGG
RNAcentral lists this ribosomal RNA (404 nucleotides) under uncultured bacterium. RNAcentral's name for it is "bacterial SSU rRNA". It matches the Rfam family "Bacterial small subunit ribosomal RNA", at positions 355 to 776 of the family's 1533-position model. The record is from RNAcentral.